GGAAGAGCUCAAAUUUAUAAUCUGGCACCUUCGGUGUCCGAGUUGUAAUCUCUAGAAAUGUUUUCCGCGUUGGACCGCACACAAGUCUGUUGGAAUACAGCGGCAUAGUGGUGAGACCCCCGUAUAUGGUGCGGACGCCCAGCGCUUUGUGAUACAUUUUCGAAGAGUCGAGUUGUUUGGGAAUGCAGCUCAAAUUGGGUGGUAAAUUCCAUCUAAAGCUAAAUAUUGGCGAGAGACCGAUAGCGAACAAGUACCGUGAGGGAAAGAUGAAAAGCACUUUGGAAAGAGAGUUAACAGUACGUGAAAUUGUUGGAAGGGAAACGCUUGAAGUCAGACUUGCUUGCUGAGCAAUCGGUUUGCAGGCCAGCAUCAGUUUUCCGGGAUGGAUAAUGGUAGAGAGAAGGUAGCAGUUUCGGCUGUGUUAUAGCUCUCUGCUGGAUACAUCUUGGGGGACUGAGGAACGCAGUGUGCCUUUGGCGGGGGUUUCGACCUCUUCACACUUAGGAUGCUGGUGGAAUGGCUUUAAACGACCCGUCUU
This 538-nucleotide small RNA is filed under the name unidentified. Its description in RNAcentral is "eukaryotic LSU rRNA". It matches the Rfam family "Eukaryotic large subunit ribosomal RNA", at positions 101 to 655 of the family's 3401-position model. The record is from RNAcentral.